This 310-nucleotide long non-coding RNA is filed under the name Setaria viridis. RNAcentral describes it as "long non-coding RNA (SVIR_LNC009130)". The record is from RNAcentral. Lineage: Eukaryota; Viridiplantae; Streptophyta; Magnoliopsida; Poales; Poaceae.
GGAGGGGUGAAUUAGGCAACUUAAAAACUUAACCUAUGGUUUCCACUACUUUGCAUCAAAACAUAAACUAGAUCAUGGUAUCUAUAUGUGCAACUACGGUUGAUCUAGUGUGAAACUCUCAUCCCAAAAUAAGUUUUGCAACCUAUAGCCAAUCCUAUCAAGACUACUCUAGGAAAGUAAAGGCACACAAGUUGCAAAUAUGAAAUGUGAAAACGUAAGGAGGGGAUGAAAGGAAGCAAAUUCUUGACACAAGGAUUUAUCCUGUGGUAUCAGUUGGCACUAAGCCACCACCAGUCCAUGUUGCUGAAGC